This is a long non-coding RNA of Humulus lupulus (European hop), 3061 nucleotides long. RefSeq lists it as uncharacterized. The record is from RefSeq and is a predicted model, not a curated record. The transcript is spliced from 3 exons. NCBI's taxonomy places the organism in Eukaryota, Viridiplantae, Streptophyta, Magnoliopsida, Rosales, Cannabaceae.
CUCUCUCUCUCUCUCUCUCUUAUCACUCAUCUCUCUCUAAAUCCCUAAUGACGAUUUGUGCCUCUGGUCUCUCACAACCCCUUAACAAAGAUUGAUUCCCCUUGGGAUUCCUUGAAUCGUUAUGAGACAGCUACAUAGGGACUAAGCCCAAGUUAAUCCUUAUCUAAACAUCUCAGUUCAUCCAUUUGCAACUUCCAGUAUGUUCAUGUAGCUCCUUUGCACCAUAGCAGCCAUGACUAUUGAUCAAGCCAACUGAAGUAAGAAGUUGUGCUUUUUUAAGCAAAAAUGAUUGCUUCAGAAAGAUGGGUCAAAGCCUUUAUAAGUUUGAAGAAGCAAGAGAAACAAAAGUAUUUAAGCUUAGCAAAAAAUCUUCAACAUUGAUCAAGUUUUUAUUUAUGUGGUCACACUAGUUUUCAAGAUCUGCUUUAGGAAAGGUGGGAGUAAAGAGCAAGAAAUGGAGACUACGUACGAUAGAGUUUUUCAGGGGAUAUGGGAAGUGAACUAAUUUUUGAGAGAAGACAAAUUAAUAUUAAAUACUACAUAUGAUAUUGUGUAGUUUUAUUUUAUUAAUUCUUGAUCAUGAUAUCAUUAAUUUGGUGCUUUCUUUCCUUGAUUGUUGUGGUUAAAAGUUGAAACUGUGCACUUUUUCAAUUUAAGCUGGUCCUUUUAAGUCAUUAGGUGGUUUAGUUUUUAGUUGGAAUCUCAUUUAUGGAUCUUGAACUUCAUAAUACUAACCAGAAUGAGAAUGAGAUCAAAGAGCUGGAAGAAGGUUUGAUAAUUUAUCAGCCUUCCUUUGCAAAAGAUAUCAAUUGAUUAAAUUCUUGGUAUUAUUUUCUUGAAAUUAUUUGUUGAUACUGAAGGAUCAUUGUAAUGUUUUUAGGAAUGAUCUUCAAAUCUAGUAAAAAAGACACCAUAAUGGGGGCCUAUGUACAGAUUUACUUCUUGGACAUGCAUGUUCCAAACUUAUGCAUGCUUUAUGUUUUUCAUAAUAGCUUUUUGUUUGGUUGUUUCUUCAAUUUUUCAAUAUCUCUAUUUGUGUUUGUAUUUGGAUUGUGUUAAAGAGAUUGUCAAUAUCUCUCUUAAUGUUGCAAAAUGGUCUUUGAUUCAUAAAUAGAAGGGAUCCUUCUCCAGCAAUGAUUUUGGUCCUAAAUUGUAGGUUAAUCAAACUCCUAAGUUUAGUCUAUUGUGUUUUCUCUCUCUUUUUUUCUUUUUUUGCCAGUGGCUUCGAACUUAAAGCACACCCUGUUGUUGGUUUUCGUAGCUUAGUUUAUUGUGGUAUUCUGUUUUUGUUUCUAUUUUAUGAGUUUCUUAUGGCUUGUUGGGGUUAAAAUUUAAGCCCUCUAAUUUACAAUUGUUGUUUCGUUAUAAGUUGGCAUAUAUAAUAAUAAUAUCUAGUUAUGCGGGAGAGAACUAUAAAAAACAUAUAAAAAUCUCAUGUUUCAAAGGGAUGUUGUACUUUUAUAAGUGUUUUUUCUUUUGCCAUAAAUCUGCAACAAACGAAAAAAUAAAUAAAUAAUAAGAUUAAGCUCAUAUGGUUAUAUAUAUAUAUAUUAUUAUUAUUAUUAUUAUUAUUAUUAUUAUAUUGUGACGUAGAAAUAUGUGUUUCUAGUGGAUACAAGCAUGUUUAUGUAUAGCAGCACAAUAAAACUUUCGCUUAGCUUUGUUUAAAUUUCCAACCAAAUAGAACUUAGUCUAAAUACAUGGUCAUGCUCUAUAUUUAAUCUCUCAAACUACUUCAGACUAAUGAAUUGGCACAACCAUAUAUGCUCUUUAUUGCUUCUUUUUUAGCAAGCCUAAUCACAUGUUUGCCUUGCACACAUAUAAUAUGAAUGUCAUAUUUAGAUUCUAGGCCAUUGGAUCUUAUAUAUAUCUUAUAUAUCUUAUAUAUAUAUAUAUCUUACAUCAUGCAGCUAUUUUUAUAUGCACUGAAACAUAUGUAGUGCUUUUUAUUGCUUCUUAUAUUAUGCUAAUAUAUUUAUAUGAACAUAACCAUUUGUUAAAUGAUUAUAUAUAUAAACAUCUUUGACCUUGUUUGCACCACAUAUAGUGCCCAUACGCAGCUUUCAGUACAUAUUAAAGAUAAGUUUCAUGAGCUAAUAAAGUGCAUACAUGGGACCUAUUAAGUAACUCUUCGCUAUUAUCAGAAAAAUUAAGUGGCCUAUUUUAUAUGGUCUAUUUUGUUAUUCUGGUUCCUUUUUGAGAAAAUUAGUUCUAGCUUAAUUAAUUUCUUUUAAAGUAUACCAUAACACAAAAAAAAAGUAUUUUAUUGUCUUGUAUAUCUGUUUGCUACUACUGUCUACUACCAUGUUUGACUUUAAUUUAAUUUUGGUGUUUAUACAUGUAAUGUAAGUACACUAAUGUGUGAGUACUGAAAUACUUAAGUAAGAGUUUCUAUAUUUGUUGAGAUAGAAAUGAUAUUAUGAAAAAUAAAAUUGACAGACUACUAAAGAUUAUUGAAAUUUGUUUUUUAUGAUGUCAUUUAUCCAUUUCUUGAUAUCAAUGUUGUGUUUUAGUUCGUUAUACUUGCUUACAAACUAGAGAUUUAAAUUUCAUCAAUAUAAUAUGAUAUUUCUUUAUAGAUAUGAAAUUUUUUUGUAUUUAUAAAAGUUUUCUAUAUUAACAUAGUCACAUAUAUAACAGAGGUAGAAAAGAAUCUGGGCAUGAUUUGUAAUUUGUACCAAUAAUAUUUUAUUUUUACAGUUGGUAUUGUUUCUUGAAUGAUAUUAAAUGCCUUAAUUAGUUUUUCAAAUGAUGUCAAUCUUUGGAAGCUUAAUUAUUACAUGGAUGAUAUAUAAUAUUAUUGCAUUUCUUCUUGUAUAAGUUUUACUAUAGCAUUAGAAACACACAAAUCUUAGAAGGCCAUUUACAUUUAUGCUGAUGAGCAACCCAAGGUUGAGUAGUUAACUGGAAACUUGAUGUUGUGGAGAAGAAAGUAGUAUGAAGAUUCAUUGAAGAGGUUUGACAUGGAACGUUGUUGCUAAUUUGCAGUAAUCAAAAGAAUAAUUUAUUUUUCUAACUUUGUACACUUGUUACAUAUUCAGUGAUAAUAGAAUUCUAAAUA